Molecule: long non-coding RNA, 381 nt
Filed under: Mytilus galloprovincialis (Mediterranean mussel)
Lineage: Eukaryota; Metazoa; Mollusca; Bivalvia; Mytilida; Mytilidae
Source: RNAcentral
GUAGUUAAACGUCAAGUGACAACUAUUUCAUUCAUGUGCACAAAUCUCUUGACAAAUCUGACGAAUUUGACGAGAUUGUUGGUAGUUUCACCACAUCGUACAUAUCAGGACACUAUACCUGUACAGUUUUCAUCAGAAUGUUCUGCAGAAAAAGAAUAGUAAAUCCAAUCCAAACAAGUAGAAUAACAAUGAAAUAUCCAUGCAUGUUUAAAUGCAUAAGUAAAAAUAAGGAAGAGACAGGUAAAAAACGGGGAACCAAGUAACGUCGACAAAGAUGUUGAUAUCCCAUGAUAUAAGAAUGUUGUUCCGAUGCGUUGGAUAACCUUUCUCUCCGCCUUCUAAUUAAAAUAAUAUGAUAGCUCUAUGUUAUUGACUAAUGUA